RNAcentral lists this unclassified non-coding RNA (425 nucleotides) under soil metagenome. Its description in RNAcentral is "partial contains 5.8S ribosomal RNA, internal transcribed spacer 2, and large subunit ribosomal RNA". The stretch from base 1 to 120 matches the Rfam family "5.8S ribosomal RNA", at positions 35 to 154 of the family's 154-position model. The record is from RNAcentral.
GAUGAAGAACGGAGCGAAAUGCGAUAAGUAGUGUGAAUUGUAGAAUUCCGUGAAUCAUCUAAUCUUUGAACGCACAUUGCGCCUUCUGGUAUUCCGGAAGGCAUGCCUGUUCGAGAGUCAUUAACAACCGUUUCGAUCCCUUGCUUUCAGAAAUUACAAAGAGGAAAAGGGUUUGGUUAUGGUGGAGGAGGGAAAGGGAGCGUUUAGCCUGUAAAAAAAGAGGCUGUGUUCCGCCUCCCCCCCAAAAUUGUACAGGCGGUCGUGUGCGCCCACGCAUCGAGGUGUUGUAAAAGCUGCCACGCCACUUUUCACCUGUGCAGUGCGAGAUUGGCCAGCCGGUUUAAAAACCCCUCCAAACAAUCAAAGGUUGACCUCGGAUCAGGUAGGGAUACCCGCUGAACUUAAGCAUAUCAAUAAGCGGAGGA